GAUGAACGCUGGCGGCGUGCUUAACACAUGCAAGUCGAACGGUGAACACGGAGCUUGCUCUGUGGGAUCAGUGGCGAACGGGUGAGUAACACGUGAGCAACCUGCCCCUGACUCUGGGAUAAGCGCUGGAAACGGCGUCUAAUACUGGAUAUGUGACGUGACCGCAUGGUCUGCGUUUGGAAAGAUUUUUCGGUUGGGGAUGGGCUUGCGGCCUAUCAGCUUGUUGGUGAGGUAAUGGCUCACCAAGGCGUCGACGGGUAGCCGGCCUGAGAGGGUGACCGGCCACACUGGGACUGAGACACGGCCCAGACUCCUACGGGAGGCAGCAGUGGGGAAUAUUGCACAAUGGGCGCAAGCCUGAUGCAGCAACGCCGCGUGAGGGAUGACGGCCUUCGGGUUGUAAACCUCUUUUAGCAGGGAAGAAGCGAAAGUGACGGUACCUGCAGAAAAAGCGCCGGCUAACUACGUG
RNAcentral lists this ribosomal RNA (469 nucleotides) under uncultured bacterium. RNAcentral describes it as "partial 16S ribosomal RNA". It matches the Rfam family "Bacterial small subunit ribosomal RNA", at positions 28 to 507 of the family's 1533-position model. The record is from RNAcentral.